UACGAAGGGGGCUAGCGUUGCUCGGAAUGACUGGGCGUAAAGGGCGCGUAGGCGGACAGCUUUGUCAGGCGUGAAAUUCCAGGGCUUAACCUUGGGGCUGCGUUUGAGACGGGUUGUCUUGAGUGGGGAAGAGGGUCGUGGAAUUCCCAGUGUAGAGGUGAAAUUCGUAGAUAUUGGGAAGAACACCGGUGGCGAGGGCGGCGACCUGGUCCUUUUACUGACGCUGAGGCGCGAAAGCGUGGGGAGCGAACGGG
RNAcentral lists this ribosomal RNA (254 nucleotides) under uncultured bacterium. RNAcentral's name for it is "partial 16S ribosomal RNA". It matches the Rfam family "Bacterial small subunit ribosomal RNA", at positions 524 to 776 of the family's 1533-position model. The record is from RNAcentral.